GAUGAACGCUGGCGGCGUGCCUAAUACAUGCAAGUCGAGCGAACAGAUGAGGAGCUUGCUCCUCUGACGUUAGCGGCGGACGGGUGAGUAACACGUGGAUAACCUACCUAUAAGACUGGGAUAACUUCGGGAAACCGGAGCUAGUACCGGAUAAUAUAUUGAACCGCAUGGUUCAAUAGUGAAAGACGGUUUUGCUGUCACUUAUAGAUGGAUCCGCGCCGCAUUAGCUAGUUGGUAAGGUAACGGCUUACCAAGGCAACGAUGCGUAGCCGACCUGAGAGGGUGAUCGGCCACACUGGAACUGAGACACGGUCCAGACUCCUACGGGAGGCAGCAGUAGGGAAUCUUCCGCAAAGGGCGAAAGCCUGACGGAGCAACGCCGCGUGAGUGAUGAAGGUCUUCGGAUCGUAAAACUCUGUUAUUAGGGAAGAACAAAUGUGUAAGUAACUAUGCACGUCUUGACGGUACCUAAUCAGAAAGCCACGGCUAACUACGUG
This 497-nucleotide ribosomal RNA is filed under the name uncultured bacterium. RNAcentral describes it as "partial 16S ribosomal RNA". It matches the Rfam family "Bacterial small subunit ribosomal RNA", at positions 28 to 507 of the family's 1533-position model. The record is from RNAcentral.